CCUACGGGAGGCAGCAGUGGGGAAUCUUGCACAAUGGGCGAAAGCCUGAUGCAGCAACGCCGCGUGCGGGAAGAAGGCCCUAGGGUUGUAAACCGCUUUCAGUAGGGAAGAAAAUGACGGUACCUACAGAAGAAGGUGCGGCCAACUACGUGCCAGCAGCCGCGGUGACACGUAGGCACCAAGCGUUAUCCGGAUUUAUUGGGCGUAAAGAGCUCGUAGGCGGUUCGGUAAGUCGGGUGUGAAAACUCUGGGCUCAACCCAGAGAGGCCACCCGAUACUGCUGUGACUAGAGUGCGGUAGGGGAGCGGGGAAUUCCUGGUGUAGCGGUGAAAUGCGCAGAUAUCAGGAGGAACACCAGCGGCGAAGGCGCCGCUCUGGGCCGUAACUGACGCUGAGGAGCGAAAGCAUGGGUAGCAAACAGGAUUAGAUACCCUGGUAGUCCAUGCCGUAAACGUUGGGCACUAGGUGUGGGUCUCAACCAACGAGAUCCGCGCCGUCGCUAACGCAUUAAGUGCCCCGCCUGGGGAGUACGGUCGCAAGACUAAAACUUAAAUGAAUUGACGGCUGAGCGNGCGAGACGACACGAGGAGAG
RNAcentral lists this ribosomal RNA (592 nucleotides) under uncultured bacterium. RNAcentral's name for it is "bacterial SSU rRNA". It matches the Rfam family "Bacterial small subunit ribosomal RNA", at positions 338 to 948 of the family's 1533-position model. The record is from RNAcentral.